UGAGGAAUCUGUCCAUCGGCGGGGGAUAGCCGGCCCAACGGCCGGGUAAUACCGCGUACGUCGGCGAUGACGCAUGUCAUUGCCGGGAAAGCAGCAAUGCACCGAUGGAGGACCUCGCGGCCUAUCAGCUUGUUGGCGGGGUAAUGGCCCACCAAGGCGACGACGGGUAGCCGGCCUGAGAGGGUGACCGGCCACACUGGGACUGAGACACGGUCCAGACCUCCGUACGGGGAGGNAGCG
RNAcentral lists this ribosomal RNA (240 nucleotides) under uncultured bacterium. Its description in RNAcentral is "partial 16S ribosomal RNA". It matches the Rfam family "Bacterial small subunit ribosomal RNA", at positions 118 to 352 of the family's 1533-position model. The record is from RNAcentral.